UACGUAGGGUGCAAGCGUUGUCCGGAAUUAUUGGGCGUAAAGAGCUCGUAGGCGGUCUGUCACGUCGGCUGUGAAAUCCCGAGGCUCAACCCCGGGCCUGCAGUGGGUACGGGCAGACUAGAGUGCGGUAGGGGAGACUGGAAUUCCGGGUGUAGCGGUGGAAUGCGUAGAGAUCCGGAAGAACACCGGUGGCGAAGGCGGCCUGCUGGGCAGUAGCUGACACUGAGGCGCGACAGCGUGGGGAGCAAACAGG
RNAcentral lists this ribosomal RNA (253 nucleotides) under uncultured bacterium. Its description in RNAcentral is "partial 16S ribosomal RNA". It matches the Rfam family "Bacterial small subunit ribosomal RNA", at positions 524 to 776 of the family's 1533-position model. The record is from RNAcentral.